UAUGUUCUAAUUUCUGACCCAAUAGAACAAUAUUGAUUCAAAGCCCAUAUUCUCACAAUCUCCACCUUGGGCUUUAGUCAGAUAAGGCCCACCUCUACCUCACGUCCUUUCCUUCCCCGACGGCAAAUCAAAGCUUUUCCUUCUGAUUACGUCUCAGACACAAACCCUGACAUGCAACUGAAACUCCGACGAAUCUCAGCGGUUUAUGGCGGUGCCCUCCGGCCACCUUCAACUCGAGACUGUCUCCACCAGCAGUGAAACACCAAAAACAACAUCUAUCAAAGCAAACCAAACCCGAUUAAAGUCGCUGCAACUUGCAAUGACUUCUCUUUCUGCUUUGCUCUCUCGAUCAUGGCAAAAUGGAACUGAUGCAACUUCGUCUCGCCAUAAUUUAUUUAAUUUCUGGAGAGUUCUCCAUAGCCGGUAAUCACUAAACCCUUUAGUGAAUCUCCUCGCCGCUGUAUUGUCUGAACAGAACCCCAAAGCUUCUUGACUCCAUCCCAACGAGCUGUAGUAUCCAUUGCUCACAUCGUAACUACAACAAUGAGAUCUCCAGCAAGAAUAGUAGAUUUGUUGUCCUAACCCCCUUUGACUUUGACUUUUCCUUUGAUAGUGAAGUCUCAAUGCUAAUUACCUAUUUGCAACUUCGGUGACUUUAUCUUUACCAGCCUCAGGUAUCAACCUCGUUCUAUUCCACUACCGUGAUAGAUGUAUGUCGAUACCAACUCUGAAAAUCCCUACCAGCUUCUCCGGUGUAUUUUCUACCUCCUCUGCUGUAUAUAAGUCACACGUCUCCCUUCAGCUUGUCCGAUCUACGAACCUGCUUUUCCAGUGGUUCACCACCAUCGCAACUCCGAUCCGAGAUUGCAACUCUGACAUUACUUUGCCGUCGACCUCAGAUCAGGUUACUCCACCUUGAACUCUGAUUCUUCCUUCGAUUACACCACCUUGGACCGCUCUGCUUCUGUUUUCUUCUUGAGCUCAAAAAACUCAUAGAGAUUCAUGACUCUCUCUCAAGUUAUCACCAUUGAUGGGAACACUCGAUUUCACUUCAUCGUUGAUCAUGUGAUAUCAAUGCUCAAGAUCCUCCAGCGUCCGUCUCAUCUCUCUUGAUAAAGUUGCAAACAGAGCUAGCUUGUCUUCUUUUUACAGCUUGUCCGACGAAAGCCUUCGCCACCUCCACUGUUUAAGACGUUUCCUUAAGUAAUCUCCUCCAGUUCUUUAGGCUGAACUCCUUGCCAGCUUUACUAAAACCUUAUAUGUUCUCCUUCAAUGGCACUUCUCUUGUGAUAACUCUUACACACUCCUUUGCGCCUUUGAUUUUUUUUUUUUGAGAACUUAACUUGGUUUCUUUUCCCACAGCAGCUCCACUUUAUCUUACCAUUCUUCAGCUCCACCUGGACCUGGAAUCAUCUUCUGAUUCCAUUAAAUGUUUCUUCGGUGAUCAGUCGAAGUACUUCUGCUCCCAUGAUGAUUCCUGUAGCUCCUUGUGGAAUCUAACACUUGAUUCCUUGUUCCUUUCCAGCUACUCAUGACGAAAGACCAACCUUCGCUCUUGCUUCCUGCAACUUCAGAUUUCCAAGACGAGCUCCACCUGGAACCAGAAUCAACAUUGCACGACUUCUAAUUCUUCACAGUUAUUUUAAACCUCAACUGUGAGAGCUCAGCCUCCUCCUUCAUCUUUAGGUAAUUCCCUUUACCUAUAUACGCUUUUGCACUUUAAAUUUAGUACAAACCAGAAUCAUGUUUGCCUCACGCCCGAAGCUACAUUGAUUUUACUAUUAGUCAAUCAAUCACACAGCCUCCUCCAUAACCUUCAUGAAUCUGUUGUUGAUUUAACUCAUCCUCCCUCUGCAUCCUGAUUUCCUUUAACCAAAUGCAAUUACCUCCCUGAAUCAUACACGUUUCAACCCGUGAAACAAUUCUCUGAUUCAAAAAACUUUUCCGUUUAAACCCCACAGCCUCGGACUCCUUUUGUACCGCCGUUAACAUUAACAGGACACACCAUCAAGCUACCAAACAUGCUAGAUAGA
Molecule: RNA transcript, 2033 nt
Organism: Brassica oleracea var. oleracea
Lineage: Eukaryota; Viridiplantae; Streptophyta; Magnoliopsida; Brassicales; Brassicaceae
Exons: 4
Source: RefSeq, a predicted model, not a curated record